RNAcentral lists this ribosomal RNA (430 nucleotides) under uncultured Planctomycetota bacterium. RNAcentral's name for it is "uncultured planctomycete partial 16S ribosomal RNA". It matches the Rfam family "Bacterial small subunit ribosomal RNA", at positions 1063 to 1499 of the family's 1533-position model. The record is from RNAcentral. Lineage: Bacteria; Pseudomonadati; Planctomycetota.
GGCNGUGAGGUGUGGGUCAUGUCCCGUAACGAGCGAAACCCCUGUGUCUAGUUGCCAGCGGGUCAUGCCGGGAACUCUAGACAGACCGCCGGCGUUAAGCCGGACGAAGGCGGGGAUGACGUCAAGUCCUCAUGGCCCUUAUGCUUGGGGCUGCACACGUANUACAAUGGGACGGACAGAGNGAUGNGAUGCNGCAAGNCNGAGNUAAUNGCACAAACCGUCCCCCAGUUCGGAUUGCGGGCUGCAACCCGCCCGCAUGAAGCCGGAAUCGCUAGUAAUCGCGGAUCAGCAUGCCGCGGUGAAUGUGUUCCUGAGCCUUGUACACACCGCCCGUCAAGCCACCAAAGCGGGGGGCAUCCGAAGUCGCCGGAGCCGCAAGGCAGGCGCCGAAGGUGAAACCCGUGAUGGGGACUAAGUCGUAACAAGGUAA